GGAGAGGUGGCCGAGCGGUUGAAGGCAGCUGUCUUGAAAACAGCCGGGUGAUGAGCCUCGUGGGUUCGAAUCCCACCCUCUCCGCCA
This 87-nucleotide transfer RNA is filed under the name Chloroflexota bacterium. RNAcentral describes it as "tRNA-Ser". It matches the Rfam family "tRNA". From Rfam's summary of the family: Transfer RNA (tRNA) molecules are approximately 80 nucleotides in length. Their secondary structure includes four short double-helical elements and three loops (D, anti-codon, and T loops). The record is from RNAcentral. Lineage: Bacteria; Bacillati; Chloroflexota.